CACGUAGGGUGCAAGCGUUGUCCGGAAUUAUUGGGCGUAAAGGGCUCGUAGGCGGUCCGUCACGUCGGGAGUGAAAACUCGGGGCUCAACCCCGAGCCUGCUUUCGAUACGGGCGGACUAGAGGUAGGUAGGGGAGAGCGGAAUUCCUGGUGUAGCGGUGGAAUGCGCAGAUAUCAGGAGGAACACCGGUGGCGAAGGCGGUUCUCUGGGCAUGUCCUGACGCUGAGGAGCGAAAGUGUGGGGAGCGAACAGG
RNAcentral lists this ribosomal RNA (253 nucleotides) under uncultured bacterium. RNAcentral's name for it is "partial 16S ribosomal RNA". It matches the Rfam family "Bacterial small subunit ribosomal RNA", at positions 524 to 776 of the family's 1533-position model. The record is from RNAcentral.